AGUGAACGCUGGCGGUAGGCCUAACACAUGCCAGUCGAACGGCAGCACAGUAAUAGCUUGCUCUUACGGGUGGCGAGUGGCGGACGGGUGAGGAAUACAUCGGAAUCUACUUUUUCGUGGGGGAUAACGUCGGGAAACUUACGCUAAUAGCGCAUACGACCUACGGGUGAAAGCAGGGGAGCUUCGGACCUUGCGCGAUUGAAUGAGCCGAUGUCGGAUUAGCUAGUUGGCGGGGUAAAGGCCCACCAAGGCGACGAUCCGUAGCUGGUCUGAGAGGAUGAUCAGCCACACUGGAACUGAGACACGGUCCAGACUCCUACGGGAGGCAGCAGUGGGGAAUAUUGGACAAUGGGCGCAAGCCUGAUCCAGCCAUACCGCGUGGGUGAAGAAGGCCUUCGGGUUGUAAAGCCCUUUUGUUGGGAAAGAAAAGCAGCAGGUUAAUACCCCGCUGUUCUGACGGUACCCAAAGAAUAAGCACCGGCUAACUUCGUG
RNAcentral lists this ribosomal RNA (492 nucleotides) under uncultured bacterium. Its description in RNAcentral is "partial 16S ribosomal RNA". It matches the Rfam family "Bacterial small subunit ribosomal RNA", at positions 29 to 507 of the family's 1533-position model. The record is from RNAcentral.